RNAcentral lists this ribosomal RNA (391 nucleotides) under uncultured bacterium. RNAcentral's name for it is "bacterial SSU rRNA". It matches the Rfam family "Bacterial small subunit ribosomal RNA", at positions 29 to 410 of the family's 1533-position model. The record is from RNAcentral.
AAUGAACGCUGGCGGCGCGCCUAAUACAUGCAAGUCGAGCGAGAAGACGUAGCAAUACGUUUGUAAAGCGGCGAACGGGUGAGGAAUACAUGGGUAACCUACCCUCGAGUGGGGAAGUAACUAGCCGAAAGGUUAGCUAAUACCGCGUACGCUUCUUGGACUUCGGUUCAGGGAGGAAAGCGAUGCCGAGGGUAUCGCGCUCUUGGAUGGGCUCAUGUCCUAUCAGCUUGUUGGGAGGUAACGGCUCACCAAGGCUUCGACGGGUAGCUGGUCUGAGAGGACGAUCAGCCACACUGGCACUGCGACACGGGCCAGACUCCUACGGGAGGCAGCAGUAAGGAAUAUUGCGCAAUGGGCGAAAGCCUGACGCAGCGACGCCGCGUGGGGGAGU